UACGAAGGGGGCUAGCGUUGUUCGGAAUCACUGGGCGUAAAGCGCACGUAGGCGGAUCCUUAAGUCAGAGGUGAAAUCCCAGGGCUCAACCCUGGAACUGCCUUUGAUACUGGGGAUCUCGAGUCCGGGAGAGGUGAGUGGAACUGCGAGUGUAGAGGUGAAAUUCGUAGAUAUUCGCAAGAACACCAGUGGCGAAGGCGGCUCACUGGCCCGGUACUGACGCUGAGGUGCGAAAGCGUGGGGAGCAAACAGG
RNAcentral lists this ribosomal RNA (253 nucleotides) under uncultured bacterium. Its description in RNAcentral is "partial 16S ribosomal RNA". It matches the Rfam family "Bacterial small subunit ribosomal RNA", at positions 524 to 776 of the family's 1533-position model. The record is from RNAcentral.